ACAAAAAAUAGAUUAUAAUUUAGCUACGGGCUAAUCCCAAGGACAAAGAGUGUAAAGCAUUUUAUUAUCUUUCCUGUUGAAAUUGUAUAGUGCCCAUUAGGCACACUGGUAUAUGCCUGCAGAUCCCAGCUACUUAGGACAUUGAGGAAGAAGGAUCACAAGUUCAAAGCCAGCCUGGAAUCUACUGUGAAAUCCAAUUCCAUGGCCAACGAACAAUAGUAUGGUGUCCUUCACUUCAUUGUGGACGUUUUCCCCCCUCAGUUUUGACUUUCAUUUCAUGUACAAAAAAAGUCAUUCCUCCCCCCAAAAUGCUUGAGGCUCUUAUCAAGUUUUUGUGGUUGUUUCUGGUUCCUGUGUGUUCACACAGUCUCUUUCUUAUCUGUUUUCAGUGGGUGGCCUCUGUCUAAUCUUACUCCAAGCUGGAUAUUGCUUCCCUGGGCGUCACUGUGCCCUUUUACAAGACCAGGCUGGCCUUGGAUGCAGAGAUCAGCCUGCCUUUGCCUUCCAAGUGCUGGGAUUAAAGAUGUGCGCCGCUACCAGACAGCUGUGAAAAUGCUUCCUCGCUAUGAACGCCGUUGCUACGUGAUCGAGUCACCUAUAGGCAUGGGUGGAAUUUGACGUCAAGGGAUGGCAUUUUCACCAGGGUGGAGUAUGGACUGGAACUCGGAAGAAAGAUAUAGUUGGCUGGAUUGUCUUGACAAGGCUGGGCUUAGGCAGGGUGACUCGGUCUGCUGCCUGUGUCUGCCAUCCUUAUCUAAACCAAGUGGCAAGCCUGAAUGUGUUCCCAUAGCGAUGCCAAGAGCUUAAGAGAGCACGUCAAAUCCUGCACGGAUGACAUCAGUUCGUUCUUUCCAGAUGAAGAAAGCUCCGUUGUGCACAUAGGGCAUCUUCUAUAUGUAUUCUGCUAUUUUGAAUAGUAUAAUAAACACAGGUGUGCA
Myodes glareolus (Bank vole) is the source of this 938-nucleotide non-coding RNA. The record is from RefSeq and is a predicted model, not a curated record. NCBI's taxonomy places the organism in Eukaryota, Metazoa, Chordata, Mammalia, Rodentia, Cricetidae.